RNAcentral lists this long non-coding RNA (1636 nucleotides) under Ananas comosus (pineapple). Its description in RNAcentral is "long non-coding RNA (ACOM_LNC021390)". The record is from RNAcentral. Lineage: Eukaryota; Viridiplantae; Streptophyta; Magnoliopsida; Poales; Bromeliaceae.
AUCCUAGGGGGGACCGCAAUCAUCCCAACCAUACAAUUCUUAAUCAAAGGGUCAAAAAUUCGAAAACAUCAAAUCCUCUAUAUUUUCGAUAGCAUAGUAUAUCUUAACUAUAUAUAUAUAUAUAUAUAUAUAUAUAUAUAAUUGAGCUCCUAUGCUUUUAAAAGUACCAAGACAUUAGUGCUUGUAAGUUUUAGCCUUUAGAUUAAAAAAUAUGUGGUUAGGAUGAUGUGGGCCCCCUAGGGUUGAGUGGGUGGUUGGUUGAAUAGUAUAAUCUAACGGGUGUAAAUGAUCAACAGUGCUGAUCUAACGGUUAAAAACCUACAAGCACAAAGUGAUUGGUGCUUUUACAAGCACCAUAGCCGGACUCUAUAUAUAUAUAUAUAUAUAUAUAUAUAUAUAUAUAUAUAUAGAACUAGGCUACUAUACUAUCGGUAGCACGGAGCGCUCCGUGCUACCAAGUUGUUUUAGAUGAUGCGGCUUCCAAAUCGACGAUCGGCUCUGUUAGACUUGAUCUACAUUAUUAAAAAUAUUUAGAAACUAAAUUUCAUAAUUUUUCGAUAUCAUUUACCUAUCAAACAAGUAGUCUAAAAUUGAACGGCUGAAAAGAAUAGGCCAUUAAAAUAGUGAAAAGAAUAGGCCAUUAAAAUAGGCCAUUAGAAUAGGCCAUUAAUUCAAGAUCAGGUAUACUGAUUUUACUUUAAAUAGUGAAAAGAAUUUUCUAUAAAAUUCUCAUCGCAUUUGGAUUGUUUUACAUCGUUAAACUCACAAACACACCACAUCGGCCAUUAAAAUUGUCAAUUUUGAGAUCUUUUGAUCACUAAUCAAAUGAUGUCGAAAAAAUCUGAAAUUUAGUUUCCAAAUACUUUCAAUAGUGUAGAUCAAGUCUAACGGAGCCGAUCAUCGAUUUGGAAGCCGCAUCAUCGAAAACAACUUGGUAGCACGGGGCGCUCCAUUCUACCGAUAGCAUAGUAGCCGGACUCUAUAUAUAAUAUUUAUUAUUUUAUUAAAAAAAAUAUAAAUAUAAUAUAUUUAAUUAUAUAUAGGCUGAGUGAAUAAUCUGAGUUUAGUUAAAAUUGGGCCAAUGUGUUGACCCAUAAAAACAAACCCAAUAAACAAAUAAAGAGCAAAAUUUCACUAAUUUAUACUUUUUCCUAUUUCUUUCUUUGACAGAGCUCUAAAUUUUCAAUAUGUUUCUCUCUUUUCUCUUUUUCUGUCACUCACCCUAAGUGGCCAAGCCGGAAGCCCUCCAUAUUACUAAGUAACAGCAUAUACUCGCCGUUGCCUACCUUGCUAUUAAUUGUAUGCUUGAGAAAAAAUAUACAUAUAUUUUUAAAGUAAAAAAUUAUUAUUCAUAUAAAAUUUUAAUUUUAGUUAUAUAUGAUUGGAUAGUUUAAUCCAAUAUUUAUCUGUAUAAUUUAUUUAUUUUUGACUGCAUAAAUAAAAAUGAAUAAUAUGGAGAUUGAAGGCGGAAGAAAAGAUAUGUGAGGCUGAAAAGAUUAGAUAUUCAACUCAUAAAUUAUUUUUUUUUCAUAUUAUAAUACUAUAUUUCAUAUAAUUAUUUUGUACUUUGAACUAUUAGACAUAUUUUUGUAUCAAAUUAUAGAUAAUGUUCUAGACAAAUUAAACUACUGAUCGU